RNAcentral lists this ribosomal RNA (927 nucleotides) under Fusarium verticillioides. Its description in RNAcentral is "SSU rRNA". It matches the Rfam family "Eukaryotic small subunit ribosomal RNA", at positions 1 to 939 of the family's 1831-position model. Lineage: Eukaryota; Fungi; Ascomycota; Sordariomycetes; Hypocreales; Nectriaceae. The record is from RNAcentral.
UCCUGGUUGAUUCUGCCAGUAGUCAUAUGCUUGUCUCAAAGAUUAAGCCAUGCAUGUCUAAGUAUAAGCAAUUAUACCGCGAAACUGCGACCGGCUCAUUAUAUAAGUUAUCGUUUAUUUGAUAGUACCUUACUACUUGGAUAACCGUGGUAAUUCUAGAGCUAAUACAUGCUAAAAAUCCCGACUUCGGAAGGGAUGUAUUUAUUAGAUUAAAAACCAAUGCCCUUCGGGGCUCACUGGUGAUUCAUGAUAACUCCUCGAAUCGCAUGGCCUUGUGCCGGCGAUGGUUCAUUCAAAUUUCUUCCCUAUCAACUUUCGAUGUUUGGGUAUUGGCCAAACAUGGUUGCAACGGGUAACGGAGGGUUAGGGCUCGACCCCGGAGAAGGAGCCUGAGAAACGGCUACUACAUCCAAGGAAGGCAGCAGGCGCGCAAAUUACCCAAUCCCGACACGGGGAGGUAGUGACAAUAAAUACUGAUACAGGGCUCUUUUGGGUCUUGUAAUUGGAAUGAGUACAAUUUAAAUCCCUUAACGAGGAACAAUUGGAGGGCAAGUCUGGUGCCAGCAGCCGCGGUAAUUCCAGCUCCAAUAGCGUAUAUUAAAGUUGUUGUGGUUAAAAAGCUCGUAGUUGAACCUUGGGCCUGGCUGGCCGGUCCGCCUCACCGCGUGUACUGGUCCGGCCGGGCCUUUCCCUCUGUGGAACCCCAUGCCCUUCACUGGGAAUGGCGGGGAAUCAGGACUCGUACUGUGAAAACCUUAGAGUGCUCCAGGCAGGCCUAUGCUCGAAUACAUUAGCAUGGAAUAAUAGAAUAGGACGUGUGGUUCUAUUUUGUUGGUUUCUAGGACCGCCGUAAUGAUUAAUAGGGACAGUCGGGGGCAUCAGUAUUCAAUUGUCAGAGGUGAAAUUCUUGGAUUUAUUGCUGACUAA